Paramormyrops kingsleyae is the source of this 9326-nucleotide non-coding RNA. Lineage: Eukaryota; Metazoa; Chordata; Actinopteri; Osteoglossiformes; Mormyridae. The record is from RefSeq and is a predicted model, not a curated record.
GCAUGCGUCAGAAAAAUAAUUUCACGUGAGAAGUCCAGAGUGCAAUUGAACCUGCGGGACAAUGCUUUAAGGAACGGGUGGCAACCCUAGCCUGCUUUGCAGUCACUCUGACAGGAUUCUUGCCUAGUGUGAGCUUUAUCCAGAACCACCUCCAAAGGUAAGCUGAGAUAGGCUGCUCACGGAGACCCCGGUUGGAUAGGCUGCUCGCUCAUGGAGAACCCAGUGGAAUAGGCUCCUCGUUCACGGAGAACCCGCUGGGAUAGGCUGCUCGCUCAUGGAGAACCCGCUGAGAAAUAGGCUGCACUCUCACGGUGACCCCGCUGGGAUAGGCUGCACUCUCACGGUGAGCCUGCACUCCCUGAAUGGUGAUGUGAGUGUUCUAUUAUUACACAAUUAGCACUGCUAACACAUGGGCAGGUAACACCUGAGGAUUGAUAAAUGACAGCUUAUCCUUUGAAACAAACUGACAAAAACAAGAGAAAUGCACAAAGGUCUGGACAGAUCUAGUGUAUUAAGUCAUAGUCAGUGUCAGACUUCUUUAAAACAGAGCGUGCCCAUGGAUUCUUUAGUCAGACAAGGUUGUUCAGGCUCUCCUCCUGUAAGAAAGUAUAGGUGUGCACGUUCUACUUUCCCUUCUCCAGGACACACUUGCUUUGAGCUUCGUCCUGCUCCUGAUCAGGAGGUGAGCUGUGAGUUAAUUCCUCGUGGUCAGUAUCACUGAUGUCAGCAAACUUCCGAAGGCUACUGCCAGGGCACCAAAGAGGAACUUCCAAGGAAUUUCCUGAAAACAAAGAAAAAUGGAAUUUUAAAAACUGGUUGAGGUGAAUCUGGAUUUUCCCUUCCCCAGAAGUGUGUCUGCAUGCUUACUGAAGCAUCCUUCUCUGACGAUUUUGAAAACGGUACAAUGUUUUCCCUGAAGACCUGCGCGGGUUUCCGCUUCCACGUUUGAGUUUCGUUCUGUCUGGCCUGUCUCUUCACCAGCUUCGACAGCUCCACGUGGAUGGCCUAGAGAAAAUCACACUCUCUACAGACCUGAAUAAUAUUCUCAAGGACCAUACAUUAUUAACCAGCAACAGGGUUGUAAAGGAAAACUGGGAAAACUUCAGAACACAAAUUAAUGACAUUUUCCAUUUCACCAGCAGGAGGCAGCAAAAAUAUCAAUAUAUGUCCCCACUCAGCUGAGACCAAAACAGUUACCAGCUGAGAAAGGUCAGCAGAGAAUUGCAGCAGCGACGGCUGUCCGUUUGGGGUGGCACCUUUAACUCUCCUCCUGGAGUCCUACCCAAGCAACCAAGGGCCUUGAGAGCAGGGACGGGGGAGGAUGUUUGGGAGAUGCUCAGAAGACACACCUUGGUGGAAGGCUCCAGCUUCAGGGCCUUUUUCAGCGUUUCCAGAGCCUCGCCGAGCUCCCCUUUGUCCGACAGCAGCUGUGGACAGAGGGCAGUGUCACUCGCCACCAGAGGCAGGUGAUGCACUCCGGCACUUUCAAUAUUCACAGCCCAUUGAACAAUGACAAGGAAGCCCACAGGAAGUGGUUUCUCCGCAGGCUGACGGAGUCACAGCGGAAAUUUCAGGUGUCGUCCUGAAUGGGCCGCUUCAUGGACGAAGAGUGGAGGGAUCUGUUUCUCCAAAGCCUGCAGUUUACAGUAGAAUGCUGCUUCACAAAGCGGGCUCUAUCCAAUACGGCCAAAAACAGCCCCCGCCCCCAUGUGAGCACACAGCGCGCAGGUGUUUGUUGUUACGAGCAAAGCACCUGGGAAGGCCUCCGGCUGCCUGUGGGGAUUUCAGUAAAACCGUGGGCACCAUUUAUGGAGCUCUCCAGGAGGGGGGGGCUGUACCGAAAACUGGCAGGUGGAGUCCCACACCAAAGAUACUUGUGUACCCAGGAUUUAAGGAUGGGUGGGGCCCUGCUGGGAGGAGCUGGGGAGGUUCUUUACUCUCACCGUGUUCACUGUAGGUUGACAAUAUUGCUCCUGCCCCAAAAGAGAAGGGGAAGUGGCUGGAUUUGAAAAACGGACUUGUGUAAACAUGUUCAGUCUGGCAGAAUUUGGAGGAGGCCUUGUUGACAGUUCUGUUCCAUUGUGUCCUGUCUUUCCUCAAAGUCGUGUUGAAAGGUCCGCCGUCAGCUGUCACUGGAGCAGAUGGGCUGCUUCCCCAGGCAGGGAGAGCGGAGAUAUUAGACUCCCAGAAUAACAAAGGCAGCCCACCUUCAGCGGUUCCCAGAGGUGAAAGGGCACGGGGAGGUCACCCCAGUGUCAGUCACGUUAGGUCACCUGUGGCCAUCACCAGGUAUCUCCAGACUCGGCCUGCUACGACCCGGCCGUCCCGCGAAAAACAAGCGUCGCCUUAACAUCAUGCUUCCAGCUGCGUCGUUUGGACUAACACAAUUAAAAGAUGAGUCUGUCCAGAGCAUGUACCCCCCCCCCCCGACCCCGUGGUUGCCAUGGCAACCAGCAAGUAGCACGUCUGCAAAAAAAAAAAAACACGCCCAGCAUUUGGGCUUCAGUACGAAAAGAUGAUGGAUUUCCAUGAAAAUCCAAUUAAGUAAAUUAUGCCACGUGACAUUUAGGAACUUCUCAGGUUUUGCGUGUGUGAAACCUUUUUAUUGGGAUUUUUUAUUUUUAUUAUUAGUGAUAUAUAUUUAUAUAUCUAUAUUAAUAGUUAUUCUUUCUAUCAGUAUUACCACCACAGCUUUGGCCCCAUGGUUGAAAUUACGGCCAGCUUAAUAAAUGACAUCUUUUGUUUACUUACUGGUGUGGACAGUGGAUCAGGUAAUGCCUUUACAUCAGGUUAUUAUUGUCGUUAUCAGACGUAUUUAUUGCGUCUUUACACGGUUCACUGUGCAGCUUAUUUGCUUUUUUCACCAGUUAUUAAACAAGAAGGUAGCAGGUAUUUCCACUACACUGGUUCCUUUGGGGGUGGGGGGGGGUGGGAUUCUGCCAGUCCAGGCACAGUUGGCCAUUUUCACAAACUGCCUGUUUGCCCCGGGCCACGCGGUGCGGGUACGAGCCCCAGCAUGCACUGCAUCGCUCCGAUCUGAUUACAAGGCAGGCCGGAUAUUCCAGAGCCUCGCAGUGCCGUGCUCUAACCACGGAUCUGAGCAACAAAGGCUUCCUGUGUAGAUUACAUCCAGGCCGACAGUGGUUCCAGCAGACCAUUACAGCCUGCCAACCGAAGACGUCUCUGUGAGAAAUAAUUCACUGUACCCUGACUGUAAACCACGUUAUGUGCCACAACAAGGACUCUGUAUCUCGGCUUUACAUCUCUGCAGUGCCUUGCGGCAGAUGCCAAACACAAACAUGACGCGAUAAGAGGGAUAAGGAGGAAGACAUUCACUAUGUAAAUAAAAAUGACACAACUCGGCGGGACAGCAAAAGGUGAGACAUGAUGGCAAUCUCACUUGUAAAGCUAAUUUUAGCCUGCAUUAACGACAUCAAUGCCUGUCCAUUAUCUGUACGAUGUCUGGAAUCCCAAGCAGGACUUACAAACCUAAAUUCAGAUAAAUGUUCUUAAUGUAAGGAUGUAUGUCUAUGCAAACGCCUCAUUUGGAUUGGGACGCGAUGUGGUGGCAUUUGACAUCUUUCAACGUGCAAGGUCACCCUGAAGUUCCAGGGGACACGGAGGUUGACCGUCCCUGCAGAUGGUGAAAAUCCGAGUGACGAGGUGUCUGACCAGCCAUGUGAGUUUAGAUGCUCCAUCUGGGGCUUCAUGAAGAACAUGGCUGAGGACCUCCUGUAGAGUCCCCCACCAACCCCUAGAUAAAUCAUGUCUUGCAUCCUGAUCUCCCAGGAAUCACAUUUGACAUGAACAGGCUAAUGUGGUGAACAUGCUCUGAGGGUCCGCGGUUGGUCUCGGUCCUCAUUUAAAAAAAAAAAACCGAGGAGCCCUCUUUGUAAACUGGGCCAACUUCAGCCCCCAGGGUGGGAUCCUGUAUUAAAGGGCAGAAGCAGCAGAGAUGCAAAGACCACAAACACAUCAGUGAGUGUGGAGGGGUGGGAGUAAUUGCAGACAGGGCCUGGCACAUAUGUAACAAGGCUGAUAUAUUGUUAUAUGUCAUAGUUUCAGCUGAACUCUUUCAAUUAGAAGAUAAACAUAGCUUUAAGGUCCUAAACUGCACACCAGUAUAAACUCCCAAAGGAUGACAGAUGAGGUAAAACCAGUUUAAACUGCCUGGGGAGCACAGGAACCGGCUUUCAAAACUUUCACAAACAUGACGACCAGCUGAAAUGUUCUCUCCUUACUCAUUAGACGUAAAUCAACAGUGGGGAUCUCUGGACCUCAGGGUCCCUUUGUUUCCCCGCGGCACGUCUCUGGGACGUGGUGUCCCCAGAUGCACGGCCCCGCCUGACUCGCAGCCGCUCUCUUCUGCUAAUUAAGGGCAUGUCUUGAAGGUUGCCAUAGUGGAGCCUCAUGCAUCUGGGUGAUAAUUAUAGCGGCUGUAUUAAGGUGAGUGUUUCUAUUCUCUGAGAUCAUUACCGGCAUGUAUGACCUUCUUGGGCAUCCGGAGACAAGAUGCGUACAAAUCCAACAUCAGAAUUGAAGCGACAGGAACCGCAGUCCUGGAUUCGAUGGGUCCGUCUUCUUUGUGCAGGUGGCUUAAUCACAAAGAACCACAAAGCGAGAGUAAGACUGAGCCCCGGACUGUCUGUCGUAAUCACAUUAUCAUUCAUAACAAGUAAUGUGGUCUUUCUGACAUGAGUCCAAUUCAAUUCCAGAAAUAAAAUCCAAGAAGAGCGACUCAGUAAUAUGAGAAAAUAACUCCUGCAUGUAGUUCUUAUUGGAAAAACUGUUAAUCAUACACGCACAUAAUGGCUUCUUACAGCAGGCCGCCUGAACACCUCAUAAGUCUGAUGGCACGAUAUGGCCCCACUGUCUACUUCCACUAAGCUCCCAGCCUGUGAUGCAGGCCAAAGAUAAAAGAAAACACCUGAAGUCAGGCCUCCUCGAUGCCCUUUUUGGGUUAAGUGAUGCUUCCUGCCUCUGAUGUGCACCUCAGGGUUCAGUCAGACUCUCAUUGUGUUUCAGUUAGAAGAACAGGUGAACCGGGGCUAGGCGGGCAGGCAUUUGGGUAGAGAUGCAAAAUUCAGGUCCGGAAAGUGAGAAUCCAGACCAAGAUUUUGUUUCAACCAACCAGUUGACUAUAAAGAGUCACGUCACAGAGUACUCAGCUGGUUGGGUGUCAGAGAAUAGCAACACUCAUCCUCAAAAAAUGAAUCAUUUCUGAUUAUAACCAUGGAGGGAAACUUAUGGAGGGACCACAACCCCCACCCCCACUGAGUUCACAAAAUUCAAUAAGAGGGAGCUGGGGGCAUGUCCGGCCCACUGGGAAGGUAGAUAGACGCAGAGGGAGCUAUAUUACAUAGCGAAGACCUCUCUUUUCUACCACCGUUAUUAUUACCGAGUAUUAAUAUUCUAGCUGCCAUUUUCACAAAAACAUAUGGCUACAAGGUUGAAAACAGCACUAUGACUUUGUACUCGACAGGCAGUUAUGGAAGAUGGAUGACUGUUGAGUGGAAAAGUGGCCCAAUGCUUCGGAAUCAGCCCUUGGGGUCUGUCUCGCUUGUGACAGAACAUUGGUUCUCAUUUAAAUGGGCUGCUCACAGGAAACACAGGGCCGUUGAUCUGGCCCUGCAUCUGGGCGCUGGCCAUAGAGACAGGCGACACGCCUGGGCAUGGGGGCCCCUGGUGGUCCUGGCAAACAAAGACCUUUUAGCUAGGUAUGGUCAAACAAAAGUCUUUGAGCUGUUAAUCGGGGAGGUGCAGCAUACUUUUUUUCUGAAGGCAUCCUACUAAAAUCUCCAUGUCUGUAAUCUAAGGCCCAUGUAAGCACUUACUGCUUUAGCCCAGACCAUUAACCCAAAUGGCAAAGCAUUCAAAUGGAAACACAGCAUAGUGCGUCACCAGCACAGGGUCCCGGGCACAUUGGUCAGCCACCAUUACCUUCUUGCAUUAUAAUGGUGGAGUUCUGGGUUUUUUUUUUUGGGGGGGGAGGGUAUUUCACAGCUGAUUCUGCUUGUUCACCUUCUUCUUCUGAAUGCCAUAACAUUCAUGUUUUUUUCCGGGUUUUCCCAUCGACGUGCCUCCUGUAAACCUCCCCCCGGCUGAAGGAAGCAUCCACGGCAUGUCCCGAGAUAGUAGCUGAACCGGCCUAGAAAACCAGGUUGGCAUCGUGCCAAAGCAAACACGUGCCAUUCAUGCGCAUCGGGGAACUUUCCAGAAAGGCUGAAGAAGAAAGAGAUGUUGCACACCAAUGUGUCAGCUAGCUGUCGGGUUCAAGACGGAGGGCAUUUGUAGCGUGUGGCCUUGAGGAGGACGACAAGCUGUCCCGCCACGCUAUUCAUCAUUACUCAUUUGAACAGGAUUUAUACGAGCUUGCGCCAUGACAUCACCGACAACAGAUCAAUACUCUUAAUUGAUCAGCCUCUUGAGAGGGUGGCUCAGAUCUUCAGCCUGCUUGAGCCCCAGCAUCGACAGAAUAGUCACACAGCCAUGGGCCCAUAAGCACGGCCUUUACCCCUCAAAUGCUUCAGAGGUGCUGCACCCCUGACCCUGCACUGUGACCCCCAAGCUUGCUUUCAGCACUAUAUGUGUCUGUGUCUCUCAUGAGGCGCAUUCACAUCGCUGGAACUUUUUUUCUGGAACCAGAACCAUUUUUCUGGAACCAGGAACUUUUGUUGCAUUCACACCACAGGAACUUGGCCCAAUUGUAGUUCCAAAAUCCUUUUUUAGUACCUACUCCAGACUAGGUACUUUUCGUUUGAACAUGAAUUACUGGGGAGGUGCGUUGAUCGAUUGCUUGCUGAUUGGUUGAUCACAAGCACCAGCGUUAAGCGGAAGUGCAGGAAAAGCGAUAUAGCAGCGGCAAAAAUUUAGUAUUUUGAAUUAUUUUUGCACCCUAAUUACAUUUAAGUAAUAAAUUUAUACAUUUUUUGCUUCCCUUUAUUUCUGCAUGGGAAAAUUAAUUUAAAAAUCGGUGCUGGCUAAACUUGCCAGUAUUUAUUAGCGGGAUAACAUUUCAUCAUUUUUUAUUUUGUGGGAAACAAAAGAUCGAUCAGUUCGCCAGAUUUUGUCUAUUGGGUAUUGUGAUGAUGAUGAUGAUGAUUGAUUACAUGUUGAAUGUGGUUGCUUUAUAAGAGGAUUAUACUGGAUCUCUGACCCAUUUACACAGCUGGGUGUUUUAAUGUCCAGUGGCACAUCAGCGGUUCCUCCCUGGCACCAGACCUGGCUCAUCCAUCUGCUGCCAGCUGCCCCUUAUAGCCUUUUAAAAAGUGGCUCAGCGCGAGAUUGUGGACCCCCCAGGGGAGAGGCUGUGUCUGAUACGUGCGGAUCACUCAGGCCUAAUCAGCAGUGCGAAAAGUGCAUUAUGGGCCGCCUGCUUUGACUUGUGGAAGAGAGUGACGAGGUGCCCAGUGCUCACAGUGAUGCCCAAUCCAACUUGGCAUACAGGGGCCAAUCCACAAGGCAGAGACAGACAAACACGGCCCCUGUCAAACACACCCCGAGAGUCAAACACACCACAAGAGUCAAACACACCACGAGAGUCAAAGAGAGUCAAACACACCACGAGAGUCAAACACACCACGAGAGUCAAACACACCUCAGCACCAGAAGUACACACUGCAAGUAACCUACAGAUAACAUAUCACGCUGUAUUCCACUCAAUGACCACAUGCAGGGAAGCUGUAAUCCUCUGAGAGAUCCCGAUGACACCCAGAGAACACAGUGGGGAUUUCAGAUGACAUUAAUGGGUAGCGAUGCCCAAUAACCAUGGAGCUAUUUCAUUUCUAACCUAGUAAUAACAGUUUAAGAAGUUGAAUCUUAUGUCCAAACAAUGGUCAGUAUAAGCCGUUAUAAUGCAUUAUGAAGGUAUUUAUAGUGCAUUAUAGAUGAGAGCUUCAUAGAGCAUUCUUAAUUCAUAAUUAACAAGACUAUAGUGUUAUGCGUUUUUAUAAAUAGUAUCUAUAAUACUUUAUAAAUGCAUUAUAAUGUAUUAUGAAGAUAUCUAUAAUGCAUUAUAUAUGAGUGCUUUAAGUCUUAACGAAAAACGUUUAAUAAUGUACAGUGAAUACAGCAGGUGUAUUUCAUGCGUGUAUUUCAGCCCUCUAACAUCACCAAUGGCCCCAGCCAUCAGUCGCCAUACCUUCCCUGACGUCCGUAAGCGUACUGGGAGUUGGUGAGUAGAAGCGAGAUUUCCUCAGGAUGCAUUGACACGGCACAUCGCUCCAAGGCCUGUGUCAAAGAGGGAGUUUGCUCAUUCAGCACGGUGAGACCUGUGUAAAUAUCACAGGCUAAUCGCUACCACUGAUCUGUUUGAGAAAAGUCUCGGCGAAUGACCUCAGUAACCCAAAUGUUUCCGGUAUUUUUAACUGUGGGAGGCUGAGUCACCCUGGUGUUUACAUGACACUUCCCUUAAGUCUCCAAACGGGGGCGCUUUCUCCAGACAUGACUGUACCGCCAAUAAAGGCCUUUUAGACCCAUGACGCUGCGGCGGGAAGCACGAGGGAUUUCACACGCAUGUCUAACUGCCAGUGAAGAGACCUGUCGUUUCCGCGAGUGAAGUGAAGAGUACAGGCCAGAAAGUGACAAAAUGAUGUGACUUUCCUGACCGGCUAAUGAGGGGACAUAGAUAUGUGACAAAGCACAGGCUCUGCGUGACUCCUCAGUCACCCACCUGAGACUGUUUACAUGGCUUUUAAGGUUAGUACAUUUACGGCACAGAGACUGCUGUCACAGUAGUCCAACACACUGUAAUUAGACUUGCAUUACCUACUGUAAUUAACCUGUCAUUACGUGCCAUAAUUAAACCAGCGAUACACACUGUAAUUGAGCCAUCAUUAUAUGCUGUAACUAAGCUACCAUUACGUGCUGUAAUUAAACUACCAUUACAUGCUGUAAUUAAACUUUCCUGCACUAUUGCUCCACUGUCUGCACUUGCACAGGUAGCUUCAUGCCUCACCUGGUGGACGUCUCCUUCUCCAGUGACAAACACGAGUUUGGAGUCUUUCUCCACCACAGUCCUGUCCUCCAGGAUCCCCUGCAGCUUGACGGUGACCUCCUGGCCCCAGACGGGCCGGGUCCACUGCUGAAGGCCUUGUUGUACAAUCUUCUUCCUCAGUAGUCCGUCAUCUGCAGACCAACAUGUGUGGAGCCCUUCCUGACCAUGUCAACACCCAGAGUAUGAGUGAAGCUGGAUAAUUUACUCCUUACUUCUUCUGCGGAGAAUAACUCUUCAAAGAUGGAGGUCGUCCAUUCUUCAGGCUGCCAGUCUGGAAACAGGCUCUCUUCAUUGUGUUCAGUCACCGCCAGUGGUAUUUGAAAGCGGACUG